RNAcentral lists this ribosomal RNA (1353 nucleotides) under metagenome. RNAcentral's name for it is "bacterial LSU rRNA". It matches the Rfam family "Bacterial large subunit ribosomal RNA", at positions 1564 to 2925 of the family's 2925-position model. The record is from RNAcentral.
CGAGUCCGAGUCUCCACGGAGACGAAGUGGCGGUCAUCCAGCUUCCUAGAAAAGCUCUAACCACGUUAAUCUUUAGUUGCCUGUACCCGAAACCGACACAGGUAGGGGGGUAGAGAAUACCAAGGGGCGCGAGAUAACUCUCUCUAAGGAACUCGGCAAAAUGACCCCGUAACUUCGGGAGAAGGGGUACCACUGAGAAGUGGUCGCAGUGAAGAGGCCCAGGCGACUGUUUACCAAAAACACAGGUCUCCGCCAAGUCGCAAGACGAAGUAUGGGGGCUGACGCCUGCCCAGUGCCGGAAGGUUAAGGAAGUGGGUUAGGGAUUCGUCCCGAAGCUGACGACUGAAGCCCCGGUGAACGGCGGCCGUAACUAUAACGGUCCUAAGGUAGCGAAAUUCCUUGUCGGGUAAGUUCCGACCCGCACAAAAGGCGUAACGAUCUGGGCGCUGUCUCGGAGAGAGGCUCGGCGAAAUAGGAAUGUCUGUGAAGAUACGGACUACCUGCACCUGGACAGAAAGACCCUAUGAAGCUUUACUGUAGCUUGGAAUUGGGUUCGGGCUUGGUUUGCGCAGGAUAGGUGGGAGGCGAAGAAGAUUUGCUUGUGGGUGAAUCUGAGCCAACGGUAAGAUACCACUCUAACCAGGCUAGAAUUCUAACUUCAACCCGUCAACCGGGGGAAGGACAGUUUCAGGUGGGCAGUUUGACUGGGGCGGUCGCCUCCUAAAAGACAACGGAGGCGCACAAAGGUUCCCUCAGGCUGGUUGGAAAUCAGCCGACGAGUGCAAAGGCAGAAGGGAGCUUGACUGCGAGACCUACAAGUCAAGCAGGGUGGAAACACGGUCUUAGUGAUCCGACGGCACCGAGUGGAAGGGCCGUCGCUCAACGGAUAAAAGUUACUCUAGGAUAACAGGCUGAUCUCCCCCAAGAGUUCACAUCGACGGGGAGGUUUGGCACCUCGAUGUCGGCUCAUCGCAACCUGGGGCGGAAGUACGUCCCAAGGGUUGGGCUGUUCGCCCAUUAAAGCGGUACGUGAGCUGGGUUCAGAACGUCGUGAGACAGUUCGGUCCAUAUCCGGUGUAGGCGCAAGAACAUUGAGAGGAGUCUUCCUUAGUACGAGAGGACCGGGAAGAACGCACCGCUGGUGUACCUGUUAUCGUGCCAACGGUAAACGCAGGGUAGCCAAGUGCGGAGUGGAUAACCGCUGAAAGCAUCUAAGUGGGAAGCCCACCUCAAGAUGAGUGUUCUCAUGGAGUAAUCCAGUAAGGUCACGGGAAGACGACCCGUUGAUAGGCGGUAGGUGGAAGUUCAGCAAUGGAUGAAGCCGAGCCGUACUAACAGACCGAGGGCUUGACC